AGCGUGCGCGCGAGCGGCCGUUGGUAACGGUCGUGAGGCAGCCGUUAGUAACGGUCAGCGGGGUGGUGAGGCCGUGAGGUGACUUGAGGGUCUGGUGGCCCUGAGUGGUCUCAAAACCUCCCGGGACGGCCUUAGAACUCUCAGGAAUGGCCGCAAAAGCCUCGCCCAGCCCCAGCCCGAGAGUCGGUGCAGGAGGAAGGGACUGCCAUCCUGUGCGCUGAGCGUGGAGCCUGAUGCUUUGGGCCAGUCUGUGGCUGCCGGAGCAGAAGGGCAGCAGUCAUUUAAGCACAAGGAAGUACGUCGUCCAGCCGGCGAGCAGCAGUGCUCCAACCAGCACCGUGUAGCUGAACAGCACGAAGGCCAGCAGCUCCCUCAGGACCUUGAGGAAGUGGAUGGCAAAGGAGUCUGGCAUGGUUCUUCCCAGCACCACAGGGCAGGUAAGGUGUCGGGAGCUGGCUGCUGCCUUGUUCUUCUGUGCUCUGUAUGAAGGAGAAGCAAAGGGACAGGAUGGGUUUUUCCCAGAAGGAUGGUGUGGCUCUGCUGUAGGGAGAAAUGGUUGUUUGGGAGGGUUAACAGCCACCCAGCCUCCUAAGCAAGUUGCUAAUUACCGAAGUGUAAGUGUGAGGCUCGUCUUGUGUGAGCUUGUUCAGACUUUUCCUGGGUUACCAAGCUGUGUGCAGUGUUGAAAAGGAGUUUGGGAUCUGAACAAUGUCUCCAAAUCAGGACUGGUAACUAAGCAAACUAAAAUAUGGAUGCACACGUAGUGGUCGCUGUUGUGUAGCUAAGGACCGGUGGCCCCCGGUUCAGCCGGAUCCUGAUGCCUUUCCCCCGUGUCGGUGGCUGUGCAUCCAGGAAGCUUCACAAGCGGAGUGUUCGCUGAUGCAUUACCACCAGUGUGUUCUGAUAAAAGUGGUCAAUUCCUCCAAGGAAGCCACCAUUAAUAUUUAAUGACAUAAUUGCAUCUAAUGGAGAUACUGGCACAAACUGAGCCUUUUGUUUAAGAGUGAGGAAAACUCGGGCUUAAAUACAAGUUUGCACAGAAAAAUAUUUCUGUCUCACCUUAAAAAUAACCUCUAAAUGGAAGACACAGGGUAAGAUGUUUUAGAACGCGUCUUCCAUCUGUGUUUUGAAGUCAUAUGAACACGUCACUUUAGAAGUUGCUCGUUUGUAAGUUUAAUAUAAAAUCUGAAAUUUCACAAAAGUUUUUGGCUCCUCAGACUUAAAUCUGUAAAGGUCCAACUAAAAAAUUCUGCUGUCUCCCUGACUUGCAUGUUCUUUUUAAUUUUGGUCACAACCAUGCCUGACAAAAUAUUCCCAGUCUUGGUGAAGCACAUAUAGGGAAUUUAAAAACAGAUUUUUGGAUAAAACUAACUUAAAAGGAUUAUGUCUCUUCUAAAUAGUCUACAGCCGGUCAGAGUAAAUUGAAUUCCUGUUCUGCCACUUUGAAUGCUUUUUAAAAAGCACGAUGAAGAGUUCACAGUUUGAUUAAAAUUAAGUCAUUCCUUUA
This is a non-coding RNA of Anas platyrhynchos (mallard), 1507 nucleotides long. NCBI's taxonomy places the organism in Eukaryota, Metazoa, Chordata, Aves, Anseriformes, Anatidae. The record is from RefSeq and is a predicted model, not a curated record.